GCACUGCUGAAGAGUUCCACAAUAGGACGAAACGACCUUCCAGUGC
RNAcentral lists this non-coding RNA (46 nucleotides) under Schistosoma mansoni. Lineage: Eukaryota; Metazoa; Platyhelminthes; Trematoda; Strigeidida; Schistosomatidae. The record is from RNAcentral.